This 451-nucleotide ribosomal RNA is filed under the name uncultured bacterium. Its description in RNAcentral is "partial 16S ribosomal RNA". It matches the Rfam family "Bacterial small subunit ribosomal RNA", at positions 354 to 796 of the family's 1533-position model. The record is from RNAcentral.
GUGGGGAAUAUUGGACAAUGGGCGCAAGCCUGAUCCAGCCAUGCCGCGUGUGUGAAGAAGGCCUUUUGGUUGUAAAGCACUUUAAGCGAGGAGGAGGCUACCGAGAUUAAUACUCUUGGAUAGUGGACGUUACUCGCAGAAUAAGCACCGGCUAACUCUGUGCCAGCAGCCGCGGUAAUACAGAGGGUGCAAGCGUUAAUCGGAUUUACUGGGCGUAAAGCGCGCGUAGGUGGCCAAUUAAGUCAAAUGUGAAAUCCCCGAGCUUAACUUGGGAAUUGCAUUCGAUACUGGUUGGCUAGAGUAUGGGAGAGGAUGGUAGAAUUCCAGGUGUAGCGGUGAAAUGCGUAGAGAUCUGGAGGAAUACCGAUGGCGAAGGCAGCCAUCUGGCCUAAUACUGACACUGAGGUGCGAAAGCAUGGGGAGCAAACAGGAUUAGAAACCCUGGUAGUCC